GGAGGGAUGUCCGAGUCAGGUUAUGGAGCUACGUUAAGGAGACUUGUCUUCUACACCGUAGUGGUUCGCCGCCAGGGUUCGAAUCCCUGUCCCUUCA
Molecule: transfer RNA, 97 nt
Filed under: Papiliotrema laurentii
Lineage: Eukaryota; Fungi; Basidiomycota; Tremellomycetes; Tremellales; Rhynchogastremaceae
Description: tRNA-Leu
Rfam family: tRNA
About the family: Transfer RNA (tRNA) molecules are approximately 80 nucleotides in length.
Source: RNAcentral